GCCUCAUUCUCUCCCGACUGCUUCUCAGCACCAAAAUUCUUCUCAGUUUCAGUGCCAGGCUCCUCAAUCUCCCUAAUAUAUAGCAAAAAUGUGUAUGCAAGUAAGGUACAUACCAAACAAAUGUGAAACAAUUUGUUUUGUAAAGUUCUAGUUUGAAAUUCAUCUUGAAAUCAGAAUAUAAAUACUUACGGAGCAAUGUCAUCGGAGGGUGUUCCCCAAUUCCCCCGUCCAGACCCUUCACGCUUAAUAUCACUCCUGAUAUUCCAAAUAUAUUCAAUAUCAAAAUGAAGAAAGCAGAAAGAUCCACACAUGAAAAGUUAAAUAUAUAAAGAACUGAUUGUAAAAUACUAACCCACGUCCUGUACCACUGUGACGAUCAAAAACCCUCCGAGGGCGUUCCCCUUCACCAUCCUCACCAUUCUUGUAACCACCACGACGCCCACCACGGAAGGAGCCACGAGGAGCACCAUAGCCACCACGUCUUUCAGAGGCUUUCCCAUCUCCCUCUUCAGAUGGUCUGUAGCCACCAGAAAAACCAUUGGUGUUCUCAUUGCUGAUUGGAUCUCGAUUAAAUUCACCACCACCACCUCCUCCACCACGCCCACGAC
RNAcentral lists this long non-coding RNA (608 nucleotides) under Malus domestica (apple). RNAcentral's name for it is "long non-coding RNA (MDOM_LNC005565)". Lineage: Eukaryota; Viridiplantae; Streptophyta; Magnoliopsida; Rosales; Rosaceae. The record is from RNAcentral.